GACGAACGCUGGCGGCGUGCUUAACACAUGCAAGUCGAACGAAGUGGCGAACGGGUGAGUAACGCGUAAUCAACCUGCCCUUCAGAGGGGGACAACAGUUGGAAACGACUGCUAAUACCGCAUACUGAAGGUGGGGCUUGCGUCUGAUUAGCUAGUUGGAGGGGUAACGGCCCACCAAGGCGAUGGGCAGUAGCCGGGCUGAAGGGAAUGACGUCUAACUUGGGACUGAGAAACGGCCCAGACUCCUGCAGGAGGCAGCGGUGGGGAAUCUUCCGGAAUGGAGGAAAGUCUGACGGAGCAACGCCGCGUGAGUGAUGACGGCCUUCGGGUUGUAAAGCUCUGUUAAUCGGGACGCGGUACCGGAAUAGAAAGCCACGGCUAACUACGUGCCAGCAGCCGCGGUAAUAC
Molecule: ribosomal RNA, 408 nt
Filed under: uncultured bacterium
Lineage: Bacteria
Description: partial 16S ribosomal RNA
Rfam family: Bacterial small subunit ribosomal RNA
Source: RNAcentral